UGCGUGUGACGGCUGUGUAGAUACGAGCGAAGCGCUCUCAUUCGAUCACUUCACAGUUACGCACAACUAUCUCGUCUGUCUCAAACCCCUCCCGCCCUCAUUCGCUGGUGAACCGUGUUGAGGUCUCUUAUUACUGUUCCAUCGGUCACCAAAGGUAUCCGAAACCUGCAUUUCACGCAUCCAAAACACUCCCUGCUCGGAGCGGUACAUUGUAGAGGGGGUUUGGCAAAUCGCGCGGACUUGUGUGACCUGUUUCUUGCUGCGCACCACUUAUACAUCCUUCUCGGCGCUACAGCGUCGGUGACACUGCUCUUUACCUCCUCCGUACACUCGUUUGUACGCUCACCGAACUUCUGCGCCUGCAUCCGCAGAGGAGAGGCUGGGCACCCACUCAACUAUGUGUUUGUGUGUCUAUGAAACUCUCUCGUGUGCAAUUCUGUUUCUGCCGUAUCUGUUGUCGCCUGGCUUCUUUGCUCACUUCUUGUGUAUCCGGUCGGCCUUUUCACGGACUUCAUCUCACUGGCCUGUGCGUGUGUCUUCGAGAAAAACAAUCGUCUCUUCCGCUCCGCUCCUCUUCGCUCUUGUAGUUGAGUCGCGACUGUGUGUCGUAGACCGCGCAUCCGUGUGGUAUAUGCAGAAAGCGCCGCUGCCGCUACGCAACAUAGGCCGAAGAACGAGCGGCGAAAACCUCGCCAGCCCCACGCGCAGAGGCGCACGCGCUUUUCUUUGGUUCUCUUCGACUAGUAACCAGCAAUGUCGCUCACGUUUUAUCUUUUUCUGCUUGUCGCUGUCGUGGUGCUGCCGCUGCUCUCCUUUCUGCGCAACGGCGCCAUCCUGCGCGGCGGCGCGGUUCCUGCAGCGCAGGGCCCGGGCAAGGGCAUUCGCAGCUCCUUCAUCAUCGCCCUUCGUGGCAGCAAGUCACCCUCCUCGCUAGCGAAGCGCAGCAGGGCAGCGCCGACCUUCAUGGAUACAGCGCUGAACUCGGCCACAUCGAGCAGCGGGACGCUAGCCCUUGGCAGUCCCGCCUCCCCCCACAGCCAAAGCAGAGAGUUGUUCCUGCAGGCGCGGCAGAGGGCGGAUAUGGAAAAGCAGCGGCAACGGUUGCUGCAGGCCAACGGCCAGCCGGCUGCAGCGGCGGAUGCCCAAUCUACACCUCCCGCCUCCUCCGGUGUCGCCUCGGCGUGGGAUCAGAAGCAGCUCUCGGCGGAUGACAAUAUCCGUCUUGUCUUUCUCUUCACCCUCGCGGUCCCGACCUUCGCGUUUUGGUACUGCAGCCUGCGCACGAUGGAGCAGAGGGCACUGCUGUGGAUUUAUCGGCACUGCCGAAGCGCCAACGCGACGGCUUCCGUGGACGUAAACAGGAAGACUCUUUUCCCAGUUCCACUUGCUGAGCUGAUGCUCGGCUUUGGCUGCGUCGCACUCGUGUGGUACGCUAGUUUCGUCUACCUCGAUCACCGAGAUAAGGAUGUGAGCCUGAAGCGGCACAACAAGCGGUGGUUUGACCGCGCGGUCAACUGGUUCAAGUUUUGCGUGUACCGGCGGUACGUCGACUGCCAGUGCCGCUUGUGGAAGCGCUACUUCUCCCUGCAGCUGGUGGCGGCAUAUGGCCCCCUGCCGCUGUUCUUGUUCCCAGGUGAGGCGGAGGCCGGUGAGCGCGGCCAGUCUGCGGAGAGCGGCCACACCUCUACGCGCGCGUUCGGUGUGGUGUCGGCCACCCGCCACAAUCCGUUCUUUAUCUCCGCCACGACCGCCUCGACAUAUGGCGUACCGUCCCCGACGGACACGCCGGUCAGCACCGCCGGGACCGCGCUGGGUAACGCAUCGGCAACAACGUCGCACAAGCGUGGCAAUGACAAUAGCGGCGAUGACUGGGACGAAGAGGAGCGUAGGCUCCUGCGGCCGCGCCACCACCGUGCUUCCACUACCCCGACGAGGCCGCCGUCGAAACAGCGUUGUGACGCGCACGGCCAGCCCGGCGAUCUGCACGCGCGCCAGCCCUCUGUCUCGUUCUCCUCGUCGGAGGUGCUGCAGGAGUGCUCCACGCCGCCACCGCCACCAAAGCCGCCGGCGAUGCGACGCGCUCACUACUUCUUCGCUGCUCACCCGCACGGCAUCCUUCCCUGGUGCUGCUGCGUGAACAUGAUCGGCAACGUCACGCACCGCGACGAGAAGCUCUUUCUAGACAACCGCGCCACGUUACUCCAUCCUCGCGACGCGUCGCACAUCUCGGUGCUCUCGGAGCUGGGGCAGCAGUCGUCGUCGUCGCUGCCACGUGCGUCCAACACCUUCACAACGAGUAGCACCCGUGCCAGCCCCCCCAUCUCCGGCCUAACUCUGGGCCCCUCUGCGUCGCCAACCACCGUCGCCGCGGAGGCCUUGACCGGUGCUGACUCGGCAGGUGAUGGUGUGGCAUACGCGAAGGGGCGCUACUAUGUCUACGACCCCUUCUUCAAGAAAUUCGUGCUUCGGCUCGAUAAGGACGAGGCGGUUCCAGCGACGCCCGCGGACGCGGAGGUGCACCGCCGGCGCCUUCGCACCGCGCAGGUGAAGGGUGAUGCUGCUGCCAUAAAGAAAGAAACCGAGGCUGGUGCAGUCGCGGCACGGCCCAGCGCUCUGCGCCGCCUGGUCAAAAUUCGCAUACGCGCCGUGGUCGCCACUUUCCCCUUCUAUGUCCCCCUCAUGCGCGAAGUCUACAUGUUUCACGGCUACAUGGAUGCCUCGUACGAGACAUGCAAGCGUGUGCUGCUGUACAACAACAGCACCCAGCGAGAGCGAGAGGGCUUGCCCCCCGUCUCGCCGGCCUCCUCUCGGAAAGCCGAGCUCGCCACGGGCGCGAAAGAUUAUGGCAUCGGCAACGGCGAUGCCAGCGAUGACGAGUAUGAUGAGAACACCUAUCCUGAUGACCUCAACCACCUGCUACUGUUCCCGGGUGGCGCUUCCGAGGCUCUUCUAUCCUCGGCUCACGGUCCCGCUCGUCUGCUGCUGCGACGCCGCAAAGGCUUCCUUCGCUUGGCGAUCCACACACAGAGUGGGCUCGUGCCUGUGUACACCUUUGGGGAGACGGACUACUUUGAGCAGCGCAGCUCCGCCACCACGCAGCACGCGACCCCAGUUGACGACGACGAGGGCUCGACGUACAUGUCGCGGCAGGGGCCGGUGGCAGACGCUCUCUUGAGACCAGACUCCGCGGGUGGCGACGGAGCGGCACCUCAGACGGCGGCCAAUGCGUCACCGCUGUCGCAAGAGGAGCAGCAGAUGCACCGGCACCCGCCCGAGAACGGCCCGACCGCAGGGCAACACGGCGAUGGCACCUCCGCUUUGGGCCCAACUGACCGCCGUGGUGAUAGCACCUCAUCCACAGGCACCACGCUACCGAACACCGUGCGCUCUCCCUGCCAGCCACCCCCUAGCGGCUCCACAUUGACGUCCCCAACGCUGUCGCCCAUCGCCUCAGCACUGCUGCACCCGGCCGCAGCGCUCGGAAAGGCGCACCAACGCGAAUCAUGGAAGGACCGGGAGAGGAGACUCCUGAGGGAGGAGGGCGAAGCGCGGGGCCGAAACGGGCGGUCGCCGACACCGCUGCGCGUGCAGGCGUUAUCCUUGGAAAAACGGCACGAAAGCAGCGACAGCGCGGCCUCGCUGAGGGAGUUAGAGGCGGCGCCGAUGAUGAGCCACGAGACGAGUUUGUCAGCGAAGCCGCAGGACGGCCUCCCUUCUGUUUCCGAGCAGGUAGCCCAGAAGCACGCAGCAAAGACGGAGGGCAAGGUGGCGACGGCCUCCUCGCCCCCCACCGUCAGCCGCCUCUCGCGCUUUAUACAGGUUGUGCAGCGCCUCUUUCAGGAUACGUUCGGUCUCUCGCUGCCCAUCGUAAAGAACAUCAUCCCGCACCGCGUCACGGGUGCUACAGUCGUGGGCCGUCCAAUCUACUUCGAGCUGCCGCCCGAGCUGCAGCGCAUGUACACCGACCCGGCGAAUUACUUCGAAAAGGAGAAGGAUCAGGAGGUGCUGCGGGCUGCGCAGGAGGUGUACUUUCAUGAACUGCAAGAGCUCUUUCUGAAGUACGCGCCACAGUACUUGAAGGACCCCGGUCGGCGCAAGCUCGAGAUCGUCUAGGUGGCGCAAUGGUGUGAACCUCUUUCUUUCUCCCUCUCCCUUUCUCCGUGCCAUGUGCACUUUCCCUUGUGUGGGCGGGAGCGCUGCAUCGCUGGAGUUGGUAUCCGGUCUGCUGCUUGCUCUGCUCCGAGGCCAUCUCGUUGCCAAGGAUUCCGAGCGGGAGUAGCGGGGCGAUGAGCCUUUUUUUUUUUGAUUAUCUCUCGUCUGCGUGUGCCUGGUUGUGCUCCCGAGCGCCAUUGGUUGCCCGAGAAGGGUCGUGAGAGGGAGAGAAAAGUGCGGGGGAGGCCGACAACACUGGCGUGGAGGACGAAGGGAGAGAACAGAGUGCUGCGUUAGUCGGUAUUAUGCUUUGGCUUUGUCGUUUGGCUACUCUUGUGUGCUCCUCUGUGUGGGUGCGUGUGUGCAGUCUGCGGUGCCUUGGGGGGGGGGGGGGUGGACCGUUGUCAUCAGGAGCCUCGGCCAUCGACGACACUGCACGAGUCAAAAGGCUUUCAAGGCGAUGCCACCCAUGCGCGAGCACUGAAAUACAGCCGCCGGCCCCGCAGGCCCAUCAUCGGCCGAAUAUGCUUUUUUGUGUUGCGUUUUGCUUUGCCUUGUGUCCUCCAACACAGAAAAUCCUUCGCGCCAUCAAGCGCGUGCUUUCUCUUUCCGUUCCCGCCACUGUUUCCUCUCCCUUUGCUUCUCCCACCUUGAAAUGUGCCCCUGACGACGGGGGCGCACCUCAGUGCGUGGCAUCUCCGGGCCCAGCGCACCUUACCCCCCCCCCCACUCUCUCGGUCGGAGGAAGCCAUGCACUAUCCCCUCCCCUAUCCCCUGCCAAAUGCCGAGCCACCUCUGGCGCUGGCAGGGCGGUGCAUCGCUGCUGACAGCGGACCGCCAGGCCCUGGGCGGCGUGGCGUCCGGGUGAUCUGCAGCCGCGAACGCGCGUGUGCACUCUCCACAUGAUGGGCAGAGUGUCCGCGUGACUCGAACGCAUCCCACCCAUCCACCCCUCCCCGCCCCCGGCCCUCGCACGGCCCACUGGUGUGGGGAGGCCUGAGCCGCCCCGAGGAGAGGGGGGUGGGGGUAGGCUGCACCAGGGGGUGGCAGCCGGCACAGCGGGGGAGCGGCUGUGAGGCGACCUGCGAGGCGGUGGGUGAGCGGGUAGAGCUGGAGGGCGGGGGCCGUGCCCCAUAUGACCGAGCCGGCGCAUCUGGUGCGAUGCGUGCGUGUCUGUGGCAGGGCUUGGCGGAGGGGUCGAGUAAAAUUUUUAGCUCCUGCUUUACGGCAGAGCAACGGGCACAGCUUGCAGUCAAAACCAUGGGCCGCUGCAUAUUCGCGAGUAUCUGCGUGUGUCUCUCUCCAGCCAUCACUACCGCCCUUUGCGCGCGCCCUCCUCACUUUGUGGUUUGCGUUCGUUUCGUUCUCGUCUCCUGCUUCCUCAGGCAUGUGUAUUGCUAUUCUCCUUUGUAUGUGUACAUCUGUGUGCAUGGGGAUGUAUGCUUGUAUAUGGAUCGAUAUGUGUAUUCUGUGUGUGUGUGUGUGUGCCGGAAGCUGGUGCCCGUCAGGGCUUGGCGUGUGAUCUUGUGCACCCUUUGCUCUGCUGUCUGGGCUCUUGUGAUGUUUGCGCUUACUCUCGUUUUCUGCACGUUCCCUUUUCCUCCCUCUUUCUCUCAUCCAUGUGUGCAGGUAGCCUGCUCACCUCACGGUGUGCGGGUCGGUGGCUGUUUCAUUUCUUCAUUGACUUGUGCUUUUGCUUCGCAUCUUUCAAGGUCCUUUUCUUUGACCUCCCUCCCCCCUCCUGCCGGUCGGUCGGUCAGUCUCUGUGAGUCCAUCUCAAGUGCACGGGCUCUUGCGUCUUCGCUCUUCACGCUUCUUUCCUUAUUGUCGUUUUUUCUUCGCCACGGACGUUUGGCAGACACCGUUGUGCGCGUGCACGGAGGGUGCUGGUAUUUGCUUUGGUGCACCUUCCUCCCUUUCCCACCAGCGUUGGCAGGGAUGUUUUGCCUCCUGGCAUCACUGCCUCAAUCGCGCCGCCACACCCCCGCCUUGCUGAGGCUGCAGGUGUCGACGAGCAUGACGCUCGCAAGAGGUGGCCUGUUCGGCGGCGUCGAGUAUUCCUGCAGGCGUGUGCCUGCGCUUGACGCCGAGGCACGUCCCUUCUUUGCCUAUGUGCUGCUCGUCGCUCUCUCCUUGUCGGGCCCAUUCGUUGUUGUUUCGUUUCCCUCAUCCCCCCGCGUCGACAGAUCGGUGUGUGUCUACCAUCUGGUGCAUUCGGUGCGUUGCGGUAUCUCUCAGCUCCGCAAAGGAGGCACCAUGGAAAAC
Molecule: unclassified non-coding RNA, 6417 nt
Filed under: Leishmania donovani
Lineage: Eukaryota; Euglenozoa; Kinetoplastea; Trypanosomatida; Trypanosomatidae
Description: gene:LdHU3.33.1610(CDS-product:Rhodanese-like_dom ain_containing_protein_putative)
Source: RNAcentral